UACGUAGGGCGCAAGCGUUGUCCGGAAUUAUUGGGCGUAAAGAGCUCGUAGGCGGUUCGUCGCGUCGGCUGUGAAAACCUGAGGCUCAACCUCAGGCCUGCAGUCGAUACGGGCGGACUUGAGUACUGCAGGGGAGACUGGAAUUCCUGGUGUAGCGGUGAAAUGCGCAGAUAUCAGGAGGAACACCGGUGGCGAAGGCGGGUCUCUGGGCCGAUACUGACGCUGAGGAGCGAAAGCGUGGGGAGCGAACAGG
Molecule: ribosomal RNA, 253 nt
Filed under: uncultured bacterium
Lineage: Bacteria
Description: partial 16S ribosomal RNA
Rfam family: Bacterial small subunit ribosomal RNA
Source: RNAcentral